Salvelinus fontinalis (brook trout) is the source of this 1244-nucleotide long non-coding RNA. RefSeq lists it as uncharacterized. NCBI's taxonomy places the organism in Eukaryota, Metazoa, Chordata, Actinopteri, Salmoniformes, Salmonidae. The record is from RefSeq and is a predicted model, not a curated record. The transcript is spliced from 8 exons.
GAUAAUGGUGUCUGUGUCCUCUGGGGAGCUCCAUUAAAAUGUCAUGAAGGUCUAACAGAGGGAUUAGGACGAGUGGAUGAACAUGCUGGACUGAGGUGGAACACCCUCGUCACAGCUGUAAUGGAUGCUGCCAAGCCUAACAUGACAGCGCUUCCCUUCAGGAUGGAUGUUUCCUGCAUGAAUGUGCCUGGGAAAUCACUGCGUCAACAAGUAAAGCCACUAGGCACCCCCAAGAGAAGCUGAAUACAUGAAAACCUGAGCAUGAUAACCGGCUACAGUGACUCACACGCAGGGUAUAAUAGAGGCGCCGUGCUCCGUGCAGCGGCUGAGUGGUACUCUGAUGACACAGCUGGUGAAGGCCACGAACAAGGCAUGAUGCUCCUUAUCCAGCUCCAUUCCCAGAAUCCUCCUGUCAUCCUGCCCCUGAACGUUACACCUGUGGCAAAAUAUGGUCACAUGACACAGAGAAAUCGUUAUAUUGUUUGGUACUGCCCUACAGUACCUGCUGGUGGUGCGGGUGAAGCAGGGCCGGUCGUUGACGGAGGGGACCGCCUCGUCCAUCAGCGGAAGGCACACACUGCCGAGCCAGGGAUACUGAGGAGGGAGACAGGCGCAAAGAGCUUGUUUAAAAAAAGAAAAGAGCCUCGUGGGAUUGAGCUGUCGAAAAGUUGCCCAUGGAGUCCAUGGGGGAUCAUAAAGAGGGGACGGGAUGAUGUCAAAUGUCUCAACCUCGAUGAUCGUUCAGCCAUCCCCACCGAUCAUCCUAAGAUGUCUCAAGACAAAGUUGACCUACUCUCAUUAACAGGGCGACUAAUUCUGGUCUUUCCCGUGCAGUUUUAUUAAAUAGAAAAUACAUCUAAAUGUUACAUUAAAUAUAUCCCCCAAAUAAAUGGAUAAAUGCUGACCUUUACGCAUGGUUUGACUGACGAGGUAAGUUAUGACUGAUGUUUGCAUCUACUUUCUUGUUUUCACAUGUGCUUUGGUAGUUAUUGUGCAAUGAACAUGACCUAUUCCUCUUUUGUCAGGAUACGAGGAUGGGAGACAUGUCAGCAACUCAACUAAAUCAAGACUGGACAUAGGACCCCAGUUUUUGCCUGGUGUCUGGUGUCAUACAGUAAGGCCUCGUGGACAGAAGAGCUUUCUGCUUCAGAUUAAGGAAGAGCAGCUGUGAGAUCUGAGAUCCCCAAACAAGAGAUGACUAUCUGGCUGUAAAGACUUGAAGAUAGGAGUCGUUUGGAUCUCUA